This is a long non-coding RNA of Tachysurus fulvidraco (yellow catfish), 1087 nucleotides long. RefSeq lists it as uncharacterized. The record is from RefSeq and is a predicted model, not a curated record. The transcript has 3 exons. NCBI's taxonomy places the organism in Eukaryota, Metazoa, Chordata, Actinopteri, Siluriformes, Bagridae.
UUUCCUUGGGAAUUUGUUUGGGAGGGGAUGUUAUUGGUGAGACACUUUGGUGGGGCUUCCUCGUGUGUGCCAUGCGGUUGCCUCAGUCCGUUUCCGGAUGAGGCCGAUGACGCAUGUCCUUCUCGCUUCUCCCUUCAAUAUACAAAUAUUGUGUGUGUACUGGUGAAGGAGAAGCUGACGCCCCGUGUCUCAUCUUUUAUUUCUUUUCUUACAGUAAAAAAAGAGCUGAGUUUCAUUGAUUGGUGGUGUGGUCUUUGUAUGUGUGUGAGAGUGACCGGUCCAGACACGUUACAUAUGUUGGCACUGUUUAAUGGUUUGCCGGUGAUGGAGUGGGCUUGGAGUGCCUUUGGAACUCUGAUCUUUGGGAUCUGAAGGGAGUUACAUAGUUUCGAAGAGAUGAAGUUACUGGCUGAACCGGAGUUGAGGAGAGCUGAAAUAAAAAUAGAGUGAUGGAGAAAAGAUAUAACACUUGAGUUUGUAAUGGUGAGUGAAGGGAUAGCUCAGACUGGAUAACACUCACCAGGUGUCGUGGUUGGCGAAUGGAGCAUGAGGUGAUAAUAUGCUCUGAAGCUCCACAGUAAAGAUACAAUCUUCGAUUAAUUCUCCGCUAAUGCUCUGACAGUGAGAGAUGAGUGGAGUCCACCUGCAUGUGUGUAGAUUAUGGAGGAUUGAACUCUGGUCGGCUGGGAGAAACUGGUGGUAAUGAAGGAUUCAAUCCGUUACAAUAUGCUGUAAUCAAUGCCACUUCAUUCCACCCACUCACAGCAGCUUGGGUGCAAAACUUCAAGGCAUUGUCAGUCACAUUCAUGUUUCUUUUUGUAAGUGAUACAAUUUGUCACUUGCCAAGGAAUCAGCAUCAGAAAUAUGAAAAACAUCCUUGAAUGUAGAGAGAAAUAACGAAUAUAACUGUACCAUUGGGGAGUUUUGUUGCCACAACGAAUCUUCCCAUUGGAGAGACUUCCCUCGGAAAUGUGAAAUGAUUAAAGGUAUUUUGGUGGGGUAUUGCUACGGCUGCAUCUCGAACACAGUGAACAUUGAAGCAGAAAUCUGGUGCAAUUCUCCACCGAACCAAAGUAGGGCUGGCCAU